RNAcentral lists this ribosomal RNA (744 nucleotides) under uncultured bacterium. Its description in RNAcentral is "bacterial SSU rRNA". It matches the Rfam family "Bacterial small subunit ribosomal RNA", at positions 8 to 796 of the family's 1533-position model. The record is from RNAcentral.
AGAGUUUGAUCAUGGCUCAGAGCGAACGCUGGCGGCAGGCUUAACACAUGCAAGUCGAACGGACGCAGCAAUGCGUCAGUGGCAGACGGGUGAGUAACACGUGGGAACGUGCCCUUCGGUUCGGAACAACCCAGGGAAACUUGGGCUAAUACCGGAUACGUCCGCAAGGAGAAAGAUUUAUCGCCGAAGGAUCGGCCCGCGUCUGAUUAGCUUGUUGGUGAGGUAACGGCUCACCAAGGCGACGAUCAGUAGCUGGUCUGAGAGGAUGAUCAGCCACACUGGGACUGAGACACGGCCCAGACUCCUACGGGAGGCAGCAGUGGGGAAUAUUGGACAAUGGGCGCAAGCCUGAUCCAGCCAUGCCGCGUGGGUGAUGAAGGCCUUAGGGUUGUAAAGCCCUUUCGGCGGGGAAGAUAAUGACGGUACCCGCAGAAGAAGCCCCGGCUAACUUCGUGCCAGCAGCCGCGGUAAUACGAAGGGGGUUAGCGUUGCUCGGAAUCACUGGGCGUAAAGCGCACGUAGGCGGAUUGCUAAGUCAGGGGUGAAAUCCUGGAGCUCAACUCCAGAACUGCCCUUGAUACUGGCGACCUUGAGUCCGGGAGAGGUGAGUGGAAUUGCGAGUGUAGAGGUGAAAUUCGUAGAUAUUCGCAAGAACACCAGUGGCGAAGGCGGCUCACUGGCCCGGUACUGACGCUGAGGUGCGAAAGCGUGGGGAGCAAACAGGAUUAGAUACCCUAGUAGUCC